AAUCAACCGAGACCCCGUUAGUAGUGGCAAGCGAGAGCGGAUUGGGGAUUUGAAGAAAAACAAACACAAAGCUUCGUUCCUCAGCAAAGUGUUCACUUUUUUUUCGCCAUGUUUCAUUCGAUUUGUUGUGGAUUGGAUGAUGGAAAAACCAUCAAGCUACGACUUCAAAGCUUACCUUAUUUUGAAAAGGAGAAAGGGCUUAUUUUAUAGAUGUUGAGGUUGAGUAAGGGGGCGGAGCUUGAAGAGCGAAGCGAGCGACCCCCUAACCUAGGUUGGGGGAAACACUCUACAAUCUAAAACGUUGGUUAGGGUUCCAAACCUUUCUCUAAUAAUAAGGUAAGCUUUCAAGCCGCCGCCCUUUAAAGGAGGGGGCCCAGUGAACUGUAAUUGUGAACAGAUUGGAAGAUCUAGCCAAAGAAGGUGAUAUCCUUGUAGAUUCAUUCCUAUGGUUCGAUCCUUCCCAGUACAUGCGGCAUGCUCGAAUUCUGAUCGCUUUUACGCAUCAAUGACCGAUAGCGUACAAGUACCGUGAGGGAAAGGUGAAAAGAACCCUAUUUAUGGAGUGCAAUAGAGAACCUAAGAUCCGAUGCGAACAAUCAGUUGAAGGAGCAGAGCUUAGAGCCUUGACUUUAUGUAAAGAGCACUCACUCUAAUGGCGUACCUUUUGCAUGAUGGGUCAGCGAGGAAAUGGGAACAGCGGCUUAAGCCACUAGGCGUAGGCACUUUCUAGAGGUGAAAUCUUCUAGUUCUUCCUAUUUAACAUGAAACAGAUCGAUCUAUCCAUGAGCAGGUUGAAGAGAGCUCUAACAUGCCUUGGAGGACCGAACCCACGUAUGUGGAAAAAUACGGAGAUGACUUGUGGCUAGGGGUGAAAGGCCAACCAAGAUCGGAUAUUGCCGAUUUUUCCGCGAAAUCUAUUUUAGUAGAGCGUAUGAUGUCGAUGGCCCGAGGUAGAGCAUUCAAUAGGUAGGGUGGCCUCAUUUUGCCUUACCAACCUCAGGGAAACUCUGAAUACAGGCUUAGAUCGAUUGUACAGACAUACGUUUUGGGUGCUAAGAUCCAUAGUCGGGAGGGAAAUAGCCCAGAUCGUGCGCUAAGGUCCCUAAGCAAUCACUUAGUGGAAAAGGAAGUGAUUGAGCAAUGACAACCAGGAGGUGGGCUUGGAAGCAACCAUCCUUUGAAGAAAGCAUAAUAGCUCACUGGUCUAGCUCCAUGGCACCAAAAAUGUAUCAGGGCUCAAGUGAUUCAUCGAAGCGAAGAGACCUUGAAAAUUGCUUUUUAAAGUGUCAGUAGCGGAACGUUCUAUCAAUCGGGAAAGGCUUUUAGUGACAAGACCUGGAGAUAUCAGAAGUGAGAAUGCUGACAUGAGUAAUGAAAAAUCCUAUGAAAAACACGAUCGCCUGCCAGUGGAAGGUUUUCUGCGUUCAGUCAAUCUACAUAGAGUGAAUCGGUCCCUAAGGAACCCCCGAAAGGGCUGCUGUCCGAUGGGUACACGAAAGUGAUGAAGUUGCUUUGACUAUAGAACCAUGCCUGUCUGUUGGAGCGAAUUGGAUGAUCGGGCUGAGGGAUGCCCCUCUUUCCCUCACUCUCAUUUCCCUAAUAUGAACCUUGAGUCAUCAAAGCCUUUCUGACUCGGCCUGGCCCGGUCGCCCUAUGCGACUGGCGCUUCAAAAGGCGAAACUAUCGGUCCUAGUUUGGUGGCCUAUCUUCAGUAGGGGCCUUUAGUCUUUUGAUUAGAGUAGGGGUCGCGAGAGAGCAGAAUGUACCGCCCUACCAUAGUCAUGAGUCUAUUUAUAGUCGCGACUGUUGUCAUAGUUAACAAGGUUGAAACUUUCAGGAAAAAACUUCGAAUUGGGAGGGCGAUCCUCCCGAUGAAUUGAUCGUACCCCAAACUGAUACAGGUGAACAAGUAGAGUAUACUAGGGCGCUUGAGAGAACCAUGUCGAAGGAACUCGGUAAAAUGACCUCGUAACUUCGGUAGAAGGGGUGCUCUCCUAUCUUUUGAUUAGGAAAGCGGCACAUACCGGGGGUAGCGACUGUUUGUUACAAACAUAGGUCUCUGUUAAGUGGUAACACGAUGUAUAGAGUCUGACACCUGCCCGGUGCUGGAAGGUCGGAAGGAGAAGUGUUAUAAGCUUUGAAUGGAAUCCCCGGUAAACAACGGAAGUAACUCUAACUGUCCUAAGAUAGCGAAAUUCCUUGUUGCAUAAGUAGCGGCCUGCACGAAUGGUGUAAUGACUACCCCGCUAUCUCUGACAUGGACUCGGUAAAAUUGAAUUCUCUGUAAAGAUGUAGAGUACCAGCGUCUAGACGGUAAGACCCCGUGCACCUUAACUAUAGCUUCGCAGUGACAACCUUAAUCGAAUGUGUAGGAUAUGUGGGAGGUGGUGAGACACAACGACCAAUCUUGAAAGACCACUCUUUCAUCUAAGCAUGUCUAACCGCCACACCGAUCAUUCGGGGGGAGGCGGUACACUACGAGGUGGGUAGUUUAUCUAGGGCGGAUGCCUCCUAAAGAGUAACAGAGGUGUGUGAAGGUAGGCUCAAGCUAAGAUUUUUCUCGUGAGCGUAAUGGUAUAAGCCAACCUGAGUGUGAGACGGACUGGUCAAAUAGAGAUGAAAGUCAACUAUAGUGACCCGGGAGUCCCGUGUGGAUGGGCUCUCGCUCAACGGAUCAAGGGUACGCCGGGGAUAACAGGAUGAUGACUCCCAAGAGCUCUUAUCGACUGAGUCAUUUGGCAUCUCGAUGUUGACUCAUCACAUCCUGGGGUUGAAGAAGGUCCCAAGGCUCGAUUGUUCGCCGAUUAAUGUGGUACGUGAGUUGGGUUUAGAACGUUAUGAGACAGUUCGAUUCCUAUCUACCAUUGGUGUUAAAGGGAGAACUGCGAGGAGCCAUCCCUAGUACGAGAGGACUUGGUUGGGCUAACCUAUGGUGUACCGAUUAUUAUGCCAAUAGCAGCGUCGGGCAACUAAUUUGGUAUGGAAGAACUGCUGCGCCAUGGGAAAUCCUUCUCUAUACAAGUUCUCGGAUGAGGUUUUUGAACAAAGAUUCGAUAGGCGAGAGGUGUAAGCACCGCGAGCUGUGAAGCGAUCUCGUACUAAACGAAACGACUUUCACUU
This 3120-nucleotide ribosomal RNA is filed under the name Nicotiana tabacum (common tobacco). RNAcentral's name for it is "bacterial LSU rRNA". It matches the Rfam family "Bacterial large subunit ribosomal RNA". Lineage: Eukaryota; Viridiplantae; Streptophyta; Magnoliopsida; Solanales; Solanaceae. The record is from RNAcentral.